AAUAAAAUAGUUUAUAAUAAAACAUUAUUAUGCAAUAAUAAAAAAUAAAUUUAUUU
This 56-nucleotide transfer RNA is filed under the name Sacculina carcini. RNAcentral describes it as "tRNA-Cys". The record is from RNAcentral. Lineage: Eukaryota; Metazoa; Arthropoda; Thecostraca; Sacculinidae.